CAAAUUUUGACAAACUUGAAACAUCUUUUGUUGGACAUAGGAAGUAGAGUAAUUAGUCAGCCAGUUCCAUUGUUCCGGACGCACGGUGGAUGCCGUAUAUAGACUCGCUGACUCGCGCGCAUAUGCUAACAAAGCUAAGUACGUACUCAAUUAUUCGGCCGCUAUACGAUUACGUACGUACUUACGUGUGUAUGUAUUGCUCGAUGCAUACACAAGUGGCAAUUAAUAUAGAGCGAUCUUGUAUGAUGUAAGUAUGGCUCGAUUUUGUAGUGUUUGUUGCGCCCGAUUAUGCUGGGAGACGGAUGCCGUAUGUACACUCGCAGCUAAGCUCCAAAACACGGAGUGACUUGUACUAAUUUCGCGGUUGACCAUUAACAGUUUUACUAUCUGAUUUGAUUUUAGAGUGGCCCUUGGCUAAUUUAUUUGUAUCAUAAGGACCUUAAGGUUUGUUACAACUUAAUUAGGUACAAGAUCACCACGGCCACGUAACUCCCUACGGCUACGUACGUACGAACGCAAAAACGACAAUCCUCGCAGUGCAAAGUACUCCAAUUUACUGGCAUGCAGCUCGAAACAACGGUUAGUAAGAUCGUUUGUCGAUCAAAACAAGAAAGUAAAACACGGUUUGAUAAGAUAUAGGGGGCAUCGCCCGGCCGGGAGCGGGAGAGAUCUCAUGAUGCUUCCAAUCAAGAGCAUCUCUCUGAUGAAUAUGCUGAAGCAAGCCUGGUUAAUUAGCCACAUGCCACACCGUCGACGUGCUAGCAUAUGAUGACGAUCACGAUGAUGAUGAUUGCUUGAUUAGGACAUCUGUAAUGACGAAUCAGUUAGACGCCUAGUCAUUUUGAUGGGUCUCGUCGGUCUGACCACUAUUUGAUUGCAUUUUUUAUUGCUAAUCACAUCUCUAAUGAUACAGGCCAUUGACUUUAGUCUUUUCAAAAAAAAAUUAAAAAAAAUACUAUAGAUACAAUGUUUCCGUCAUGGACCGUAGGCCGUCAAAGUCGGCCCGCCCUCGUAAACAAACGGCCCAACAUUAUCAAGGGAAAACACGUAUCUGAUCUUCCUACGACUUCACAACGUAUCAAACUUAAUGGGCCGAGUUACAGUAAAAAAAUACUAUUGGGUCGACACCACAAACUCUGUCAAAUCUGUCCGUUCCGUUUCUGGAUCUGAAAUCCAAUAUAGCACUGGCCACAUGCUUGAAAUUUCUGCCUUUUUUAGAGUUUGAUUGAGGUUGCACAUCGAACUUAGCAUCCUAGUAAUAUACUAAGUUCCUCUCAAAAAAAAAAGUAAUAUACUAAGUACUUGUUCCUCUGGUCAACAUCAUCUUUCCUGUUGAUGCUGACUGGAGUGGAAGCUCGAUGAUUUAAAUUCUUUCUCUUUUUUUUUCAUUCAAAACAGCAUCCUUUUGUAGUCACCGGCGGAUACAUAGGGUGGCCAGGGUGGUCCAUGAACCACCCUGAAAAUACAGGCCAUAUACAUAUACACUAGUGUAUUUUAAACCUAUUAAAAAAAAUCAGCCCGAGCAAAUUGCCCAUCUCCCUGACUAGUUAUUGUUUCUUUCUGUUGUGUAGUAUACGCAUCUAGCAGCCUAACGAUUGAUCACGAGCAGUUAGCAUCGUAUCGUAUUUCUCGUCGAGCAGACGAGCACGAGAAGCUAACAUCUCAUCGUAUUUCUCGCCAUC
Molecule: long non-coding RNA, 1682 nt
Filed under: Brachypodium distachyon (stiff brome)
Lineage: Eukaryota; Viridiplantae; Streptophyta; Magnoliopsida; Poales; Poaceae
Description: long non-coding RNA (BDIS_LNC004109)
Source: RNAcentral